AGGGCUUUAGCUCAGUUGGUAGAGCGCUUGCCUUACAAGCAAGAUGUCAACGGUUCGAGUCCGUUAAGCCCUA
Molecule: transfer RNA, 73 nt
Filed under: Neodangemannia microcystis
Lineage: Eukaryota; Viridiplantae; Chlorophyta; Ulvophyceae; Oltmannsiellopsidales; Oltmannsiellopsidaceae
Description: tRNA-Val
Rfam family: tRNA
About the family: Transfer RNA (tRNA) molecules are approximately 80 nucleotides in length. Their secondary structure includes four short double-helical elements and three loops (D, anti-codon, and T loops).
Source: RNAcentral